UACGUAGGGGGCAAGCGUUAUCCGGAUUUACUGGGUGUAAAGGGAGCGUAGACGGUGAUGCAAGUCAGAAGUGAAAGCCCGGGGCUCAACCCCGGCGAGCCGUUGAAACUGGCUGUCUUGAGAUGUCGAGAGGUAUGCGGAAUGCGCAGUGUAGCGGUGAAAUGCUUAGAUAUUGCGCAGAACUCCGAUUGCGAAGGCAGCAUACCGGCGGCGAUCUGACGCUGAGGCACGAAAGCGUGGGUAUCGAACAGG
RNAcentral lists this ribosomal RNA (252 nucleotides) under uncultured Bacteroidales bacterium. RNAcentral's name for it is "partial 16S ribosomal RNA". It matches the Rfam family "Bacterial small subunit ribosomal RNA", at positions 524 to 776 of the family's 1533-position model. Lineage: Bacteria; Pseudomonadati; Bacteroidota; Bacteroidia; Bacteroidales. The record is from RNAcentral.